Molecule: ribosomal RNA, 517 nt
Filed under: uncultured bacterium
Lineage: Bacteria
Description: bacterial SSU rRNA
Rfam family: Bacterial small subunit ribosomal RNA
Source: RNAcentral
GACGAAAGUCUGACGGAGCACGCCGCGUGAGCGAAGAAGGCCUUCGGGUCGUAAAGCUCUGUUGUUAGGGAAGAACAAGUAUCGGAGUAACUGCCGGUACCUUGACGGUACCUAACCAGAAAGCCACGGCUAACUACGUGCCAGCAGCCGCGGUAAUACGUAGGUGGCAAGCGUUGUCCGGAAUUAUUGGGCGUAAAGCGCGCGCAGGCGGUUCCUUAAGUCUGAUGUGAAAGCCCCCGGCUCAACCGGGGAGGGUCAUUGGAAACUGGGGAACUUGAGUGCAGAAGAGAAGAGCGGAAUUCCACGUGUAGCGGUGAAAUGCGUAGAGAUGUGGAGGAACACCAGUGGCGAAGGCGGCUCUUUGGUCUGUAACUGACGCUGAGGCGCGAAAGCGUGGGGAGCGAACAGGAUUAGAUACCCUGGUAGUCCACGCCGUAAACGAUGAGUGCUAAGUGUUAGAGGGUUUCCGCCCUUUAGUGCUGCAGCAAACGCAUUAAGCACUCCGCCUGGGGAGUAC